Molecule: transfer RNA, 359 nt
Filed under: uncultured Lachnospiraceae bacterium
Lineage: Bacteria; Bacillati; Bacillota; Clostridia; Lachnospirales; Lachnospiraceae
Description: 16S-23S ribosomal RNA intergenic spacer
Rfam family: tRNA (bases 118-191)
Source: RNAcentral
ACAUUGAAAGGUUUGCUUUUGCUUUUCUUUUGGGGCAACCCACGUCUUCUUUUCCUUCCUUUUUUUAUAAUGCAAGACAGUGAUUUUUAUACAUUGUUUUCAUAUAUGUUGAGCCAAGGGGAUAUAGCUCAGCUGGCUAGAGCGGCGGCUUUGCAAGCCGUAGGUCAGGGGUUCGAAUCCCCUUAUCUCCAUAGCAAGCAUCUUGGGAAGCCAGGUGCUAAGCGAAGAUUUUUGACAACACAAUUAGGGAAGGAAGAUGAAAUAAGCUUUGGAAUAAAGUUUUAUUUCAUAUUUCAUAAAGCUUUAGCUAAAGCUUUAUGCACGUACGAAAAUAAAUUUUCGUAACGGAAUAAUAAUAU